AUAGGUAUAGCUCAGUGGUAGAGUGCAGCUUAGUUAGCAGGCACAAGGUCCUGGGUUCAAUCCCCAGUACCUCCA
RNAcentral lists this transfer RNA (75 nucleotides) under Camelus bactrianus (Bactrian camel). It matches the Rfam family "tRNA". From Rfam's summary of the family: Transfer RNA (tRNA) molecules are approximately 80 nucleotides in length. Their secondary structure includes four short double-helical elements and three loops (D, anti-codon, and T loops). Lineage: Eukaryota; Metazoa; Chordata; Mammalia; Artiodactyla; Camelidae. RNAcentral also lists the same sequence under 3 other names. The record is from Rfam by way of RNAcentral.